GGUGGGGAGGCAGGACACCCUGCGGCUGCCAGGAAGUCCGGCCCAGGAAGUCGUCGGACGGGUUCUUGGUAUUCUCUCAGCGUGGGCGGGACCACAGGAAACGACUAACAGACACAGUUCUGGGCCUGCAGGUAUUUGUCUCUCUUCUAGCCAGAGGACAGGACAAUUCCUGAUGGUUAUAGCAGGACACAAUGUGUUUGCUGGAGCUCUCAGUGGCACCCAAAUUGGAGCUGAGAGAGCCUGAAGAGAAGUGGAACCACCUUGCCACGAUAAGAGAGGUUAGCACUUCUGCUAGAUCACACUUGCCACAAAAAGAUGGGAACCAAAUUCAAGUGAAGAGGAUUGAAGAUGAACCCAACAUUUUAAAAGUCCUUGUUUGCCAGAAGUGAACCUGUGACCUCGCUUCAUUUCUUCAUACAUGGCUGUUGUAGCAGGGUUUCAGUUCCCCUUGGUCAACUGUGGUCCGAAGAUAUUAAAUGGAAAAUUCCAGAAAUAAACGGCUUUUUUCCUUGAGACUUUCCCUCAAAAGCGGACUACUUGAUAAUUUGGGAAAAUGCAUGAGAUACAAAGCUGAGUAAAGAAGAGCAGCUCUAGGUCAAGGAGAAAGAAGAUGCCUGAUAUGAGGAUGGAUAAUUUAGGCCUCAGUUUUGACUUCGGAUGGAAACCAAAAGCAAAAGGACAACAGUGUGAGCAAAGUUUUGAAAACCGGGCAAAGUACAAGGCAGAGAUAUUCCCUGCUUGUGAUUUUGUGAGAAAAGAAACUGCCGGACCUUAAGGAUCAAAGCAUAAAUUUUCUAACAAUAGGUUGUAUCGCAUCACACUUUCCAGUAAUCACUGGGGAGUCAGAAUCCACAACCCAUGGAAAAGCACUUUAUUUGAGGGGGGAAGAAGUGGAGAAAGCCAGAAUUUCCACAAGCCUGUUCAGAGGAAUCACUGGAGCCUGGAUCUCAAUCCAUGGGACACCGUGAGAGUUGGUGAAAUUAAGAAAAAAAGUGACAUUGGUGACAGCAAGAGAUUUUGACUUAGAAGUGGCCAAGGACAUGGCGGGCAAAUGAGUCCUCUUGUGUAAACUGAAGAGGGGCAUAAAUUCGGUAUGGUAUAAUCUACCCCUUGAUACUAUAAUUUGGAGCCUUAAUUUGUUUGGAGAACAGCAUGUCAUCAUUUAUUUCCUGGAUGAGGAAGUAGUCCUUCAAAUUGGUGACCGGUUACACUCUCUUAAAAAGGCCUCAUGAGAGUUAUUACACCAAGAUAUGGUUCCUGUUACUGCCUCUGACUUCAAAACCACAAUUUUUAUUAAUCAUAUCCCUCUACAACCACCAUUUUUAUACUUUCCUCCAAUAAAUUAACACCUUGGUUAAUUUAGGUUACUUAGUUGGUGGAAUGACCCAGAGAUUUAUCCCAGAGUGGUUUGAGCACACAGUUACCUUUCCCUUUUUGGACCAUGGUUGCUACAAUUGGAUCUUCACAGUUAUCAUUGGGAAUAGAUGCCUUAAGUGAUGUUUCAUAGGAUCCUCUGAGUUUAAAACAAAAUUUUCCCUAUCUGUUUUUAUAGUUAACAACCCUAACUCCUAACAUAAAUUACGGGUGUUAUCUCAGCCAAGUAUAAGUUUUUUUUUUUUUUGCCUGUUGUUUCACUGGCGUUAGAGGCCCAAUGUUGCAAGAUGGAAGUUGCAGCUUCUCAUUCAUUGAAACACUAUUGUGUCAUCAAGUGGAAGUGGCCUCCAACCUUGGAAAUAAUACCUCAAGCCUAGCAUAACUUAGGUUCGCAGGAAUGGCAAAGCACAAAUUCCAAAAAUAGGUCACUGGAGUGUUGGUCGUUGGAGCCACUCCUACUGCUACCCUUUGGUUCUUGAACCUAAGUUUUCUAGCUCCUCAAGAAAAUCAUAUAUUAGUUAUGGUUUCAGUGAUUAUAUUACAUAUAAAGAUGUUGUGACUGAGCUCGUGCCUUAGCUCAUCCUUCAACAUGUCUAUCUACAAUUAUUUUAGGCUUGCUGAUUCUGGGUGAUAAGAUACGUGGUAGCUCCAGGGAUUCUCAUGUUCACAAGCUCAUUGUUGCGCCUCCUUUGCUAUAAAAUGGGCCCUUUGGUAUUGGACAUUAUUGUGCACAAUUAAAUGUCAAUGGAUCAGGAAUUUUCUGUUUUUGUAUGGUGGAGGUAAUGGAGGUUCUGCAGACAGAGAAGGCAAAUGCAUAUCUGCAAUAUGUAUCUAUUCAGAUAGAGAUGAAUUGCUAUUCUCUCCAAAUUGGAAGGAGUCUGAUGUAAUUGACCUUCUACAAUUUGUAUGGCUGGCCUACCUGAGGAAUGGUGCCAUAUUGGAGACUUAUAGAAUUUCUACUACUGGAAGUUCGGAACAUUCAGCUGUUGCAGAAGAAUUAAUCUUUUUGGAAGGGAACUCAUGUGGUUGGACUCACGCAUAACUGACGUGCAUAGCUGGUAUCCCUUUUUCCAUGAGCACAUUGUGCAACUACUGGGGUAGCUGGGGAGAGACAUGGGCUGAGAUCUACUGACUGAAUUUCUUGUACACAUGGUUGUCAAGAGAUUUCUCUGCAAUGUGUUAUUUGGUGAAUAUUAACUGGAAAUGUAAAUAUCUGUAUGUUUUGUAUCCAUUUCCAUAGAACCAUCCAUAUACCUAUUCUUUAUACUCAAUCUUCCAGUUUUGGCCAUUUCAGUGAGGUUGUAAUAUGGCAACAGCAGUCCAUUUCUGGUUAGUGCCAACAUACUGUUCUGACUUAUCUGUGAAUCAGGCCUUUGUGAUUUCUUCUGUCAGUUGGUUAUAAAAACUUCAUGAGGCCACUGGUGUAAGCUGAAGAAUCGAAGUUAAUGUAACAAAGUUAGGUAACACAGGCAUCGGGACCACUUAUUCAUGUAGUACCUUCUGGACCCACUUAAACCUCAUCACAAAUAUAUUACAGUAGUCCCCUUUUAUCCACUGGGGAUACAUUCCAAAACCCCCAGUGGAUGCCUGAUACCAUGGACAAUACUGAACCCUAUAUAUACUACGGUUUUUUUUUAUGC
This is a long non-coding RNA of Hipposideros armiger (great roundleaf bat), 3014 nucleotides long. RefSeq lists it as uncharacterized. Lineage: Eukaryota; Metazoa; Chordata; Mammalia; Chiroptera; Hipposideridae. The record is from RefSeq and is a predicted model, not a curated record. The transcript has 5 exons.